RNAcentral lists this transfer RNA (71 nucleotides) under Bos taurus (domestic cattle). It matches the Rfam family "tRNA". Rfam says of the family: Transfer RNA (tRNA) molecules are approximately 80 nucleotides in length. Their secondary structure includes four short double-helical elements and three loops (D, anti-codon, and T loops). Lineage: Eukaryota; Metazoa; Chordata; Mammalia; Artiodactyla; Bovidae. RNAcentral also lists the same sequence under 4 other names. The record is from Rfam by way of RNAcentral.
UCCCUGGUGGUCCAGUGGUUAGGAUUCAGCGCUCUCAUUGCCAUGGCCUGGGUUCAACCCCAGUCGGGGAA